CUACUAACCUGGCAGGGGAGAGACCAUGAUCACGAAGGUGGUUUUCCCAGGGCGGGGCUUGUCCACUGCACUCCGGAUGUGCUGACCCCUGCGAUUUCCCCAAAUGCAGGAAACUCAGCUGCAUAAUUUGUGGUCGUGGGGGACUGCGUUCAUGCUCUCCCCUA
RNAcentral lists this small nuclear RNA (164 nucleotides) under Dasypus novemcinctus (nine-banded armadillo). RNAcentral describes it as "U1 spliceosomal RNA (ENSDNOG00000038319.1)". It matches the Rfam family "U1 spliceosomal RNA". From Rfam's summary of the family: U1 is a small nuclear RNA (snRNA) component of the spliceosome (involved in pre-mRNA splicing). Lineage: Eukaryota; Metazoa; Chordata; Mammalia; Cingulata; Dasypodidae. The record is from RNAcentral.